UUAAUCUUAAAUGAUGGGUUUUCAAUUAAACCGGGAAAUCGGUCUUGUUACCUGUUCAAAAAAAAAAAACAAGACUGAUUUCCCGGUUUGACUGAAAACCCGUCAUUUAAGAUUAA
Molecule: microRNA precursor, 116 nt
Filed under: Brassica napus (rape)
Lineage: Eukaryota; Viridiplantae; Streptophyta; Magnoliopsida; Brassicales; Brassicaceae
Description: pre miRNA MIR811
Source: RNAcentral